This 329-nucleotide unclassified non-coding RNA is filed under the name soil metagenome. RNAcentral describes it as "partial contains 5.8S ribosomal RNA, internal transcribed spacer 2, and large subunit ribosomal RNA". The stretch from base 1 to 120 matches the Rfam family "5.8S ribosomal RNA", at positions 35 to 154 of the family's 154-position model. The record is from RNAcentral.
GAUGAAGAACGCAGCGAAAUGCGAUAAGUAAUGUGAAUUGCAGAAUUCAGUGAAUCAUCGAAUCUUUGAACGCACAUUGCGCCCCCUGGUAUUCCGGGGGGCAUGCCUGUUCGAGCGUCAUUUCACCACUCAAGCCUCGCUUGGUAUUGGGCAACGCGGUCCGCCGCGUGCCUCAAAUCGACCGGCUGGGUCUUCUGUCCCCUAAGCGUUGUGGAAACUAUUCGCUAAAGGGUGUUCGGGAGGCUACGCCGUAAAACAACCCCAUUUAAGGUUGACCUCGGAUCAGGUAGGGAUACCCGCUGAACUUAAGCAUAUCAAUAAGCGGAGGA